CCAAACUUGGUCAUUUAGAGGAAGUAAAAGUCGUAACAAGGUCUCCGUUGGUGAACCAGCGGAGGGAUCAUUAAAGAGUAUUUAAAACAACUCUUCUAACCCGUGUGAACCUACCCAUCGUUGCCUCGGCGGUGACGCCUACCCGGUAGCAGUUACCCUGUAGCAUCGUUACUUACCCUGUAGCGACCUACCCUGUAGUCGGCCGCCGGUGGACUUUUUAAGCUCGUCUCUGCAGUGGCACCUCUGAAGUUAGCAUUUUUAUGAAUAAGUCAAAACUUUCAACAACGGAUCUCUUGGUUCUGGCAUCGAUGAAGAACGCAGC
RNAcentral lists this unclassified non-coding RNA (322 nucleotides) under uncultured fungus. RNAcentral's name for it is "partial contains small subunit ribosomal RNA, internal transcribed spacer 1, and 5.8S ribosomal RNA". The stretch from base 1 to 73 matches the Rfam family "Eukaryotic small subunit ribosomal RNA", at positions 1759 to 1831 of the family's 1831-position model. Lineage: Eukaryota; Fungi. The record is from RNAcentral.